This 595-nucleotide long non-coding RNA is filed under the name Spirodela polyrhiza (greater duckweed). RNAcentral describes it as "long non-coding RNA (SPOL_LNC000071)". Lineage: Eukaryota; Viridiplantae; Streptophyta; Magnoliopsida; Alismatales; Araceae. The record is from RNAcentral.
UCCUGGGUAGCCUUCAGCGUCCAAAACCCAGUUAAACAGGUUUCUUCUGGUUUCAUGUUGUGCGAUGCAGAUGAGCAUUGCCCUGGAUGAGAAGGACGCAGAAAGGGUUUCGCUGGAGAAGAAACUGGAGCAUGAGCUACACAAGGAACAUGAAGAACAGAGGGGACGGAUCAGAAAGUCGAAGGGAAGUGAAGCUUUCUUGAGAAAAUUACUGGGUUCGACGAAGAGUGAGGCAUCAGCUUUACAGGGUGAGCUUCAGAGAGAGAAAAGAUCAGUCAGGGAGCUCAAACAGCAGAUCGAUCGCGUGUGCAGUGACGUGGCUCGAGCUGGUGCGGAGAAGAGGUCUCUGGAAUCAAAAAUUCUGGACCAGUCGGAGACGGCGGAUCUUCUGCGGGACAGAUCGAGCUUACUGAACUUGGAGAUCAGAGACAAGGGCGAGACUAUAGACGAGCUCACCUCUUCGAUUGCUGAGAAGGAAUCGGACUCCGAGAGCCUGAGACAUCUCAUAGAUCAGUUGAAGAUUGAAACGCUGGAGUCUAGCUCUACGCUCUCCGACUUGGAAGCUGAGCUCCUCAAGACUGAAGAAGAACUGGAU